AUCACACAGAGCUAGUGUGGUGUGGGGAUUAGGAAAUCAGACUCAACUGCUUAAAGCAGGGUAAGGAAAUAUGGGGCCCUCUAAACAUUGCUUGACUUCAACUCCCAUCAGCCCUAGCUUCUAGGGUCAAAGGUCAGGGGUGAAGGGAGGUGCAGUUCAGCAACAGCUGCAGAGCCACAUGUCCAUCCCAUCUCCCAGCCCGAAGCUUACAUAGCUUAUGCACUCUUGGGAGCAGAGGGGGAAAGUGAUUAAUAAGUUCUUUCAUCACUGGAACAGACACAAUCAAUUCAGAGCAAACAGCUGGAGUGAUGUAUUUAAGAGAUCAAUGUUAACUGUCAAUGACAAGGAAAAUCUAGUGACGAAUUGGAUAAUUAUUAUAUCCACACUAGUAUAAUAGUAAUAAUAAUACCCAGCUUUUAAUGUAUUUUGAGCCCUGUUCAGGCACAUGACAAUUACGGCAUGCAGGACUACAGUGUGGCGAUGAACAUUUGCCCCAUAUGGGUGCCGGACCCUUCCUAACACUGUCCAUGGGCAGAGGGCAAUGUCUGAAACAGGGGAGUCUGCCAGAUACCUGUAGUUUAUCCCUGUGGGUUGGAAUCCUUAGGAUUCCAGGUCAUGGGGUCAGUCUACGUGUAUCUGGCAAGGCUGCUGAAAUAUACCCGGAGUCGAGUGUGGAUUUCAUGCUCUUUAUUCAGCUCAUAGUAGUGAGGAAUGCCAGUUCCCCCGAAAUGUCUGCUUUAUAAACAUUAUUUACACAAUGGGCCCCACGUGAUUGGCUAAUUCCGGGAUUCUCCUGUAGGCCAAUCAGGUUGCGGAUUCACUUCCACCUAGAGUUGGAUUGGGUGGCUCCUGCAGACCAAUCAGACUGCUGUAUUUUGGAUCCUAUUGUUCUAGGACCGAUCAGACUGCUGCAUUCUGAAUCCUAUUCAACUCAGUACAUAACAGCUGCCCUCCUGCAGAUAUUGCCCUGCAGAAAACAAGAUUGCCAAGACGUACUCUGCAAAAUUGACACACAACCCCCUCACUCUGCUCUGAUGGGGGGUUUUUUUGGGGGGGGGAGGAGACACAGUAAUCCAUUUCCCCUUCCUCAUCUCUGCCAUGUUUCUAUUUAGGUUUAACAUGGACCCCACCCCCAAAUUGAUUUGGGACCAGAUCCAAGGGUGGAUUGGCCCCAGGUUGGCCUGUCUGCAGGUGGAGGGGUUGAAUCUGAGCCACAGUGCAGAUCGGGGGGCUGUGUGUAUUUAUCUUUUUUAUUUAUCUAAACAAGCACAAACAUUUUAAUGACACAAAAGAGGGAGGGAGACAAAAAAAGCCUGAAUAAAAACUAAAAUGAAACAUACACACCAAGUACAAACUAUGGUAGUUUCAUUCACAUUCCCUAUUCAGCCCUGGUGAUUAUUAUAAUGAUCAUACCCAUUAUUAGAAUCGUAAGCACACAAACAGAGCUCUGUAAUAAGACUGGGAAAUACAAAUCCCAUUUAAGCCAUGAAAGUCAAUGGAUAACUAACCUGACACCAGUUGCUAUCUCUCAGCCCAACCUACAUCAAAGGGUCGUUGUUACGAUACAAUGAGGGGUGGAGGAGCUGACCAGGGCUUCUUAGAGGAGCGUUCUGAUAAUAAUAUAUAAAAGAAAUAAAACAUUGGUUAAAACUACCAAGGGCAGGCAAAGAAAUCCACUUCAGAAGUGAGCAGGCUUCUGAAGUGAAUGUCUUUGAGGCUAGCUGUUUAUUUGCAGAGAGCCAGUUUUAUAUGUACAGUGAGCUUCGGAAUAUGAAGCUGCUAUGUGUUACCUUGCAAGCGGUAUCAGCUGAAACUUUUUCAAAAUCCAGAAUGGAUCUUCUUCUUUGGUACAAAGCAAUAAAAGUGCUGUUUCGCUGUAUUGCAGGGGCGGGGGCGGGAAAAACAUUAAGGAACGCAAUGUUUACAGAGAAGACCACAGAAAGGUCAGCUUCCUUUCAGGCACAAAUCCAAACACUAAUAAAGCUCCACUCCAUAUCUCCGCGCCCAACGGUUGGCAAACCAAGCCAACUUUCAGUCAAAAUGAUGUACUGAAUUAUUCUCCGCCGGACAGAGUUUUAAUGUAUACCAAACCACCCUGAAUUCGGCCUUUUCCAAAAGACGUUUAUAAGAAGGUGCUUUCAGAUGCUAAGUGCCAGCCUCAGCAGAUAACCUAGAGAGAGCAUUUCAGACGGAUUUAUUCCCAAUACACCCCCAAGGAUAAUCUUCUAUAUCAUGGCCAAGGUCAACAGGAUUCUCACAAGGAGAAGAUUUUAGGGAGCCGUGUCUGCUUGUAGGGGAGGUGGAAACUAAUUUGUGGCAGACACUUCAGGAUUUGAAGUAGAAGCUUUGAGGUUCAAAAUGAGCACCACACUCCGCUUGCCAAUAAAUCCUCUCAGGUGACCCUUAGGGAGUUGUUCUCUCUCUCAGUCCCUGAGCUGUGAAAUGGGAAGAAUGACAUCCCUCCUUCCUGGGAUUGUUGUUGCCACUGAAGAGGAAAAUGAAGGGCUGCGCACAUUAAGAAGCAAUGUUAAAACGGUUAGAAGCUAUUUAUUUACUUACCGCAAUUCUAUACUGCCUUUUAACACAAUCAUCAGUAGUCCGCUUGGACUACUGCAAUGUGCUCUACAUGGGGCUACCUUUGAAGGUGACCCGGAAACUGCAAUUAAUCCAGAAUGCGGCAGCUAGACUGGUGACUGGGAGUGGCCGCCGGGACCACAUAACCCGAGAGAUCUGCAUUGGCUCCCAGUACGUUUCCGAGCACAAUUCAAAGUGUUGGUGCUGACCUUUAAAGCCCUAAAUGGCCUCGGUCCAGUAUAUCUGAAGGAGCGUCUUCACCCCCAUCGUUCAGCCCGGACACUGAGAUCCAGCGCCGAGGGCCUUCUAGCAGUUCCCUCAUUGAGAGAAGUGAAGUUACAGGGAACCAGACAGAGGGCCUUCUCGGUAGUGGCACCCGCCCUGUGGAACACCCUCCCUUCAGAUGUGAAGGAAAUAAGCAGCUAUCCUAUCUUUAAAAGACAUCUGAAGGCAGCCCUGUUUAGGGAAGUUUUUAAUAUUUAAUUCUGUAUUGUUUUUAACAUUUGACUGGGAGCCGCCCAGAGUGGCUGGGGAGACUCAGCCAGAUGGGCGGGGUAUAAAUAAUAAAUAAUAAUAAUAAUAAUAAUAAUAAUAAUUCCCAAGGCGAUUUGAAAUAACUUUCUAAAAAGGGAGAAAGAAUCUGCAAAUGUGCAUAGAAUGUUUUAAUAAAACAGAUUUUAAAACUGGAGCGACAAUAAAAAAAGCACUUCUGAUUAACUGAUAUACUCCUGUGAGAAUAAUAAUAAAAAGGCACUUAGAAUAUAGUCACUUGAGAGUCUAGUAAGCUCUGGUCUGAGCAGAAGCUCAUCUCAGCUCCCAGUAAGAUGGCACUAGGGGUACUGUUUCACUGGCAGAUCUUUAAACCCCAAGGUGAGUUCAGAAGGGAGAACGAGAUGCUAAAAUAGUCCGGGCUAAGCCAUGUAGGGCUUUCAAGAUGAAAACCAGCAUAUUGUGGGGAUUUCAGUAUCCUGGUUGGCUGCGGAAAUGCUCCUUCUGGAUGUUCCCCCUAUGGAGUAGAGUUAUAGUUUGUGGGGCUCCUGGAUCCCAGGAUUGCAACCAGAUUCUGCAUGGUCAGCUGUGCAUAGGAAAAACCCUUCCCUAGAUAGAUCCAUGCUCUACCCACGGAUCCUGCAGAGGAAUGAGCAACAUCAGGUGUGGUGCUGUGAUGAGCAGGGGCUGUGCUGUGUGCAACACAGGGGCAAAGAGCACCUGAAUAUGGCUCCUGGCUUCCUCUUGAGGACUUCAAAGCAAUUAAUGCACGAACAGACCAAAUGCUGAAACUGACUUUCGAUGGUAUUCUGUUAUUAAUUGUACUUACUGUAUGUACUGUAAUUUAAUCAUUGGAUGCGGUCAACCAGUUAUAUGGAACUGAGUACAGCACAACUACCAUUUUAAAUAUUUUGAUGUCUUGUAACUGUGCCACAUGGUAUCAGCAUAUUGAUGAUAACUCACGCCUUACCUUCCGGAUGAUCUCUCUUAACCCGUUUCAUGAAGAUGUUAAUCAAAAACAGGUCCCCAAAGGGGGAGCUCGCGCCAAGACAUUUUGUCUCAACAUAAUCAUGGUAAUUUCAACACUCUGCUGGGGAGCACAACUACGGCUUAACCACAUGCCACCAGAUGUCGAUGCAGACUAUGGACUAGCCACUUGAGCUGCACUCUUCAAAACGUGUCGCGCAGCAACAGCAAAAUUAAAAAUUAAAAAAUGAGGCACUUCUCAAUCUGCAGUGGGUGCAAUUCCUAUUCAAUAGCGGUGUGGCAUUUGGCUGCAGAGUACGCAGAAGCUUGCUCAGCAUAUUGUGCUUCCUAUCACCCUUAUAGCUAAGUUGUUGAAGAUGAUUUAUUUAGAGGGCCUCUGAAUACCUGGCAUCUUGCUGUAUUUCAGGAACAGAAGACUCGCACCUCUCCAGCUCAAGUUUGCUAACCCUACAAAGCUUCUGGGGCCCCAUUGCUAAAGUAUUCUUACUGAAAAUAGGAGCACAGUCGAUGGGAUUCCCUUCAGAAGUUGUUGGGAACCAACUCUCACUGGCUCCAGCCAGCAUGGCCAUUGGUUUGGGACAGUGUUUGAAAUUCGCCAGGCACCAGGUACAUUUUGAAGCUGGCUAUUGGCCACUUACGACCAAGCGAAGAUGCCCGGGUCCCAGGAUGGCGCUUGACAUCUCCACCAUCUAGAGGUGCAUUCCUGGGGAGAUUCUGGGAUCCUGACGGUUUUCACGUACUAGCAACACACCCUGUAGAAUUCUACUUGUGAUAUUUUAUCUGCACAAUCAGAACAAAUUUCAGAAACCAAAAAGUCGUACUGAAAAAUACAACAUUUGAGCUGUUUGGCCCCAAAAUGGCAACUGGACAUCCCAUUUUGGCGACUGUAACCCUGGUUUAAGGAGCCUUUUGUGCCUAGAUUAUAUAUUUGAGUUUCAAACCCCUUUUUUGGGAUGGUGGAAGGCUGUUGUAAAUCAUUUCAUAUACCAGGAGUGGGGAACCUCAGGCCUGGGAGUGGCCCUCCAACCCAGUCAGUGAGUGUUGAGGGCUUGGGCACCAUCCCAAAGUGACCGACAGAGAAACAUGGAAGGCAGAAUCCGGCCCCUGAGCCUUAAAAGUCCCUACCCCAUAUUAAAAAGCAUCCCAGGUAUGUAAACAUGGCCAGAGUAAUGCACAGGAUUCAUUGCAGAGAGACUUGCACUGAAGAAUACUUUAGCAAUGGGGCCCCAGAAGCUUUUUCAGACAGGUGAGAAGAAGCCGUUACUUUAAACAGCUCUGGCUUUUGAAAGAGGCAAACAAAAACGAAAGGUAUUCAAAGUCUGCUUCAAAGCAGGUGUCAGCUAUUAAUGGGCAGGCUGGGUGUGUACUUGGUACCCAUAAUGUUCACACACCCUGAGAGGGAGAUAAAGCAUGAGAGGCACUCGUUUUUCCGACGGCAGCCAUGCCGUGCCCGUGCAUUUAAAGAAAUGUGCAGAAUGGCACAGCCUUCAUUAUUCUAUUGCUUCAGACAUCAACUGGCCAAAGGAAUCUAAUUUAAGAGAAAGAGGGAACGCGAGACGACGGCGAUUUAUUAGUCUUUUUUCUUUCUUUUUCUUUCAAAAAAAUGAACUCAAAGCGACUUGCAAAAUGCAAAGAUCAAAAGGAGAUUGAAAUAAGUGCUUUGGUAUUGAAAAUGGAAGGCUUCUUUAAAGAAAAGAAAAAGGGACAGGAGAAAUACUCUCCCUUUCACGAUAUCCGAUUGUUCCUUGCAAACUAAGCACCAGGCCACGCAGAUUAAGAAAGCAUUAAGGAAGAAUGUGGAAGGAAACUUGAAUUAAAAG
Podarcis lilfordi (Lilford's wall lizard) is the source of this 5870-nucleotide non-coding RNA. Lineage: Eukaryota; Metazoa; Chordata; Lepidosauria; Squamata; Lacertidae. The record is from the annotation of a GenBank genome assembly.